CGCCGCGUGAGGGAUGACGGCCUUCGGGUUGUAAACCUCUUUUAGUAGGGAAGAAGCGAAAGUGACGGUACCUGCAAAAAAAGCACCGGCUAACUACGUGCCAGCAGCCGCGGUAAUACGUAGGGUGCAAGCGUUGUCCGGAAUUAUUGGGCGUAAAGAGCUCGUAGGCGGUUUGUCGCGUCUGCUGUGAAAUCUGGGGGCUCAACCCCCAGCCUGCAGUGGGUACGGGCAGACUAGAGUGCGGGCGGGGAGAUUGGAAUUCCUGGUGUAGCGGUGGAAUGCGCAGAUGAAGAGAGGAACACCGAUGGGCAAGGCGCAUCUCUGGGCCGGAACCUACGCUGAGGAACGAAAGCAUGGGGAGCGAACAAGAUUACAUACCCUGGUAGUCCAUGCCCUAAACGUUGGGAACUACAUGUGGGGGCCAUUCCACGGGCUCCGUGUCACAGCUAACGCAUUAAGUUCCCCGCCUGGGGAGUACGGCCGCAAGGCUAAAACUCAAAAGAAUUGACGGGGGCCCGCACAAGCGGCGGAGCAUGCUGAUUAAUUCCAUGCAACGCCAAGAACCUUACCGAGGCGUGACAUAUACCGGACACAUCCAGAUAUGGUCGCCCCGCAUGGUCG
RNAcentral lists this ribosomal RNA (621 nucleotides) under Microbacteriaceae bacterium Ri3Pw_6391. Its description in RNAcentral is "bacterial SSU rRNA". It matches the Rfam family "Bacterial small subunit ribosomal RNA", at positions 395 to 1029 of the family's 1533-position model. Lineage: Bacteria; Bacillati; Actinomycetota; Actinomycetes; Micrococcales; Microbacteriaceae. The record is from RNAcentral.